RNAcentral lists this ribosomal RNA (464 nucleotides) under uncultured bacterium. Its description in RNAcentral is "bacterial SSU rRNA". It matches the Rfam family "Bacterial small subunit ribosomal RNA", at positions 28 to 507 of the family's 1533-position model. The record is from RNAcentral.
GAUGAACGCUGGCGGCGUGCUUAACACAUGCAAGUCGAACGGACGAUGAAGAGCUUGCUUUUCAAAGUUAGUGGCGGACGGGUGAGUAACGCGUGGGUAACCUGCCUUGUACAGGGGGAUAACAGUUGGAAACGGCUGCUAAUACCGCAUAAGCGCACAGCAUCGCAUGAUGCAGUGUGAAAAACUCCGGUGGUAUAAGAUGGACCCGCGUUGGAUUAGCUAGUUGGUGAGGUAACGGCCCACCAAGGCGACGAUCCAUAGCCGACCUGAGAGGGUGACCGGCCACAUUGGGACUGAGACACGGCCCAAACUCCUACGGGAGGCAGCAGUGGGGAAUAUUGCACAAUGGGCGAAAGCCUGAUGCAGCGACGCCGCGUGAGCGAAGAAGUAUUUCGGUAUGUAAAGCUCUAUCAGCAGGGAAGAUAAUGACGGUACCUGACUAAGAAGCACCGGCUAAAUACGUG